Molecule: ribosomal RNA, 256 nt
Filed under: uncultured bacterium
Lineage: Bacteria
Description: partial 16S ribosomal RNA
Rfam family: Bacterial small subunit ribosomal RNA
Source: RNAcentral
UACGAAGGGGGCUAGCGUUGCUCGGAAUCACUGGGCGUAAAGGGCGCGUAGGCGGCGUUUUUAAGUCGGGGGGUGAAAGCCUGUGGCUCAACCACAGAAUGGCCUUCGAUACUGGGACGCUUGAGUAUGGUAGAGGUUGGUGGAACUGCGAGUGUAGAGGUGAAAUUCGUAGAUAUUCGCAAGAACACCAGUGGCGAAGGCGGCUGACUGGUCCGGUACUGACGCUGAGGUGCGAAAGCGUGGGGGAGCAAACAGG